Molecule: ribosomal RNA, 421 nt
Filed under: uncultured bacterium
Lineage: Bacteria
Description: bacterial SSU rRNA
Rfam family: Bacterial small subunit ribosomal RNA
Source: RNAcentral
UGGCGAGUGGCGAACGGGUGAGUAAUAUAUCGGAACGUGCCCAGUCGUGGGGGAUAACGCAGCGAAAGCUGUGCUAAUACCGCAUACGAUCUCUGGAUGAAAGCGGGGGACUCAGCAAUGGGCCUCGCGCGAAUGGAGCGGCCGAUAUCACAUUAGCUAGUUGGUGGGGUAAAGGCUCACCAAGGCGACGAUCCGUAACUGGUCUGAGAGGAUGAUCAGUCACAUUGGAACUGAGACACGGUCCAGACUCCUACGGGAGGCAGCAGUGAGGAAUAUUGGUCAAUGGGCGAGAGCCUGAACCAGCCAAGUCGCGUGAAGGAAGAAGGUUCUAUGGAUUGUAAACUUCUUUUGCAGGGGAAUAAAGUUCGCUACGAGUAGCGAUUUGUAAGUACCUUGCGAAUAAGGAUCGGCUAACUCCGUG